Molecule: non-coding RNA, 89 nt
Organism: Mycena latifolia
Lineage: Eukaryota; Fungi; Basidiomycota; Agaricomycetes; Agaricales; Mycenaceae
Source: the annotation of a GenBank genome assembly
GGCUUGGUGGUGUAAUGGUAACGCACUCUGUGUACCUUGUUCACAUAUCGUUCGAUGGAAAGUCCGGAGUUCGAUUCUCCGUCAAGCCA